RNAcentral lists this unclassified non-coding RNA (310 nucleotides) under Hevea brasiliensis (rubber tree). The record is from RNAcentral. Lineage: Eukaryota; Viridiplantae; Streptophyta; Magnoliopsida; Malpighiales; Euphorbiaceae.
GGUAUUUAUAGUUUAUCAACUAGUAUAACGUCAUUGCCAACCCAGUGCAAUGUUAGCACCAAGUCAUCAACCAGCUCACUACCACAUCAGAAAAAAUUUUGAUAGGACUCCUACUAAAUUCAACAAGUAGAUUUUGAUUUUGACAUCCAUUCUAGGUAAGAAUGACUAUCUAGUUAGAUUUUAUGUAAACUACAAUUCAAAGGCUACAAGAUGAAAUUGAUGACUACAAUGUGUCUGUUUGCUGAAAAUCAAAUAUUACAAGUUGAAAAUAACUAUAAGAUACAAUUAGAUGAAAUAUUUUAUUUGAGGG